UAGGGAAUCUUCGGCAAUGGACGAAAGUCUGACCGAGCAACGCCGCGUGAGUGAAGAAGGUUUUCGGAUCGUAAAACUCUGUUGUUAGAGAAGAACAAGGAUGAGAGUAGAAUGUUCAUCCCUUGACGGUAUCUAACCAGAAAGCCACGGCUAACUACGUGCCAGCAGCCGCGGUAAUACGUAGGUGGCAAGCGUUGUCCGGAUUUAUUGGGCGUAAAGCGAGCGCAGGCGGUUUCUUAAGUCUGAUGUGAAAGCCCCCGGCUCAACCGGGGAGGGUCAUUGGAAACUGGGAAACUUGAGUGCAGAAGAGGAGAGUGGAAUUCCAUGUGUAGCGGUGAAAUGCGUAGAUAUAUGGAGGAACACCAGUGGCGAAGGCGGCUCUCUGGUCUGUAACUGACGAUGAGGCUCGAAAGCGUGGGGAGCAAACAGG
Molecule: ribosomal RNA, 430 nt
Filed under: Fusobacteriota bacterium
Lineage: Bacteria; Fusobacteriati; Fusobacteriota
Description: Fusobacteria bacterium partial 16S ribosomal RNA
Rfam family: Bacterial small subunit ribosomal RNA
Source: RNAcentral